GGCCCAUCACACCCCCAGACCUCGGCUGCCGUCCUGCUGCCUGGCCCUGCCAGACCCCUAGACCGGGGCCCCAAGCGACCCUGUGGCUCGGCUCCUGGGGUCUUCAGGCCCCCAGACUCCCAGAUCCGGGCCCACUCUCCCAUGAGACCCCAGGCCCAGGACCAGCAGGCCCCAGGCCCAGCAGAGCCCCCGGCCCCGGCCUGCGACCCACCGCCCUCGCUUCCAGCCACGGAUUGCUUGCUCCAACCUGCCCCUCCUGCGGCCCGCCUGGCCCCGCCUGGUUUGGCUUUGAGCCCCUUCUUGCCUGAGGACACAGCAGUAAGGCAGGCAGAGCGUGGCUGCAGCGGCUCAUGGGCCUCGGGGCCUGGGCUGCCACCUGCCUCUGCCCGCCCCCUGGACGUUGGUGGCGGGAGGUCAGCGGCGUCUGCUGGAGGAGCCCCCGGGAACGCGGCCACGGGAACGCGGCCCUGACUUCCCAGGAGCAGCCUGCAGCCCUGAGGGGCGAGCGCCUUCCGCGGGGUCAGCGUGCUCUGCAAAGGGCCCUCUCCCUGCCCUUCCCGCUGCUUGUGGGCUCAGCGGCCUGCAGGGCCCCGUGAAGCCUCUGGCUGCCGCCAUGCACUGCUGCUGAGGACCCCUCUUGGGGCAGCUGGUCACGGCGGGCACCUGAGGGACGGCGGUGCAAGGAGAGCCCUGCCCCCCGGGCCAGGCAGCCACCUCGGGGCGCUCCUGCUUGAGACGGAGCCCCGUUGCUCAGCCAGCCCUGCUGGGCACGGCAGCCGAGAGCCCGGCGCAGAGCUCCAGUGCCAGCAGGCCCCAGGCCGCCACGGGCACAGCAGAGCGUGCCGCGCCUGCGCAGGUCCAGCCGGGCCGCCACGAGCAAGGUCCACAGCGCCCCUCCCCGCCUGCACGCUCGGCACGCGCGCUCGGUGUGCGGUGAGGAAGCGGCUGUCUCCGGGUGUGCUGUUCUUGGGGUGCGUGCGCCUGUCCCCGCCGUGCUCACGGGUCUCGGGAAGCGCCGCCGUCCCAGCACCCCAGGUUCGGCGAGGGGGGCUGCGUCACGGGCCGGGGGCACCCUCGCAGCCGGGCCUGGUACCCGCAGCUCCGAUAGCGCAGGAAGCCCCGGCAUGGGGUGGACCGGCUGCCCGCU
Molecule: long non-coding RNA, 1147 nt
Filed under: Dasypus novemcinctus (nine-banded armadillo)
Lineage: Eukaryota; Metazoa; Chordata; Mammalia; Cingulata; Dasypodidae
Description: lncRNA (ENSDNOG00000052363.1)
Source: RNAcentral